CUGUCAAACGUGGAAUAUCAUCAAAAACAUAAGAAAAAGGAAAGAAAGCUAUGAGAAACUCAUCAAAUAAUAAUAACAAUAAAUACAAUUAUAUUUAAACUGGACAAAUUCAAUCGCAUCAAGACGGCCACGAGCUUUGAGGAAAUAGCUGCAAUGGAACCGUCAGCCUGCGAAGAUCUCAAGGCCUUCGAGCGGCGCCUCACCGAAGUGGUUUCAUCGUACCGUCCCUCGACGUUCCGCUGGCGCAAACUUCUUGCAGUUGUCCUCUCCGCCAUGUCCAUGUGCACCGCCAUCAGCGCCUGGUACUGGCUACGCGAUCCGCGCACCACCGUCGUACCGCUAACGGAGUCCCUCUGGAUCCAUCCCAUCUUCACAGUCGCCACCCUGACAUUGAUCGUCCUCUUCAUCCUGGGCAUACAGAAACUAGUCAUAGCGCCGCAAAUCAUUACAUCGAGAACGCGAACGGUACUGGGAGACUUUAAUAUGAGCUGUGACGACACGGGGAAGCUGAUACUCAAGCCGCGCCAGAGUAACAACAACAGCACAUGAGCAGCGGCCAGCUUCCAGGACAUUUAUUUAGUUAAUUGCUAGUUCCCUUAUAAUUUUCUUUUUUCCUUUAUGUUGAUUCGGACACCCACGCUUUAAGCUCCAUUGUACAAAAAAAAACAAAAAGAGAAGAAAUCAAUUGUUAAGCUUUAUGAGUUUCGUUAAUGGCGUUACCCAUCGCUGCCAAAUACACCAAGCGACAUUUCAAUAUCAA
This 760-nucleotide unclassified non-coding RNA is filed under the name Drosophila yakuba. RNAcentral describes it as "GE21752". Lineage: Eukaryota; Metazoa; Arthropoda; Insecta; Diptera; Drosophilidae. The record is from RNAcentral.